AGAGUUUGAUCAUGGCUCAGGACGAACGCUGGCGGCGUGCUUAACACAUGCAAGUCGAACGAAGCUUGAUUACGGAUUCUUCGGAUGAAGUAUGAUAUGACUGAGUGGCGGACGGGUGAGUAACGCGUGAGUAACCUGCCCUUCAGAGGGGGAUAGCGUUUGGAAACGAACGGUAAUACCGCAUAAUGUAUUUUGACCGCAUGAUCGAAAUACCAAAGAUUUAUCGCUGAAGGAUGGACUCGCGUCUGAUUAGGUAGUUGGUGGGUAACGGCCUACCAAGCCGACGAUCAGUAGCCGGACUGAGAGGUUGAUCGGCCACAUUGGGACUGAGACACGGCCCAGACUCCUACGGGAGGCAGCAGUGGGGAAUAUUGCACAAUGGGCGCAAGCCUGAUGCAGCAACGCCGCGUGAAGGAAGACGGUUUUCGGAUUGUAAACUUCUGUUCUUAGUGAAGAAUAAUGACGGUAGCUAAGGAGCAAGCCACGGCUAACUACGUGCCAGCAGCCGCGGUAAUACGUAGGUGGCAAGCGUUGUCCGGAAUUACUGGGUGUAAAGGGAGCGCAGGCGGGUGAUCAAGUCAGCUGCGAAAACUACGGGCUUAACCCGUAGACUGCAGUUGAAACUGUUCACCUUGAGUGAAGUAGAGGUUGGCGGAAUUCCGAGUGUAGCGGUGAAAUGCGUAGAUAUUCGGAGGAACACCGGUGGCGAAGGCGGCCAACUGGGCUUUAACUGACGCUGAGGCUCGAAAGUGUGGGGAGCAAACAGGAUUAGAUACCCUGGUAGUCCACACUGUAAACGAUGAUUGCUAGGUGUGGGGGGUCUGACCCCUUCCGUGCCGGAGCUAACGCAAUAAGCAAUCCACCUGGGGAGUACGACCGCAAGGUUGAAACUCAAAGGAAUUGACGGGGACCCGCACAAGCAGUGGAUUAUGUGGUUUAAUUCGAAGCAACGCGAAGAACCUUACCAGCACUUGACAUCCAACUAACGAAAUAGAGAUAUAUUAGGUGCCCUUCGGGGAAAGUUGAGACAGGUGGUGCAUGGUUGUCGUCAGCUCGUGUCGUGAGAUGUUGGGUUAAGUCCCGGAACGAGCGCAACCCUCGCCAUUAGUUGCUACGCAAGAGCACUCUAAUGGGACCGCUACCGACAAGGUGGAGGAAGGUGGGGACGACGUCAAAUCAUCAUGCCCCUUAUGUGCUGGGCUACACACGUAAUACAAUGGCCAUCAACAGAGAGAAGCAAUACCGCGAGGUGGAGCAAAACUUCAAAAAUGGUCUCAGUUCGGACUGCAGGCUGCAACCCGCCUGCACGAAGUUGGAAUUGCUAGUAAUCGUGGAUCAGCAUGCCACGGUGAAUACGUUCCCGGGUCUUGUACACACCGCCCGUCACACCAUGGGAGCCGGUAACACCCGAAGUCAGUAGUCUAACCGCAAGGAGGACGCUGCCGAAGGUGGGAUUGGCGACUGGGGUGAAGUCGUAACAAGGUA
Molecule: ribosomal RNA, 1485 nt
Filed under: metagenome
Description: bacterial SSU rRNA
Rfam family: Bacterial small subunit ribosomal RNA
Source: RNAcentral